Molecule: long non-coding RNA, 314 nt
Organism: Achroia grisella
Lineage: Eukaryota; Metazoa; Arthropoda; Insecta; Lepidoptera; Pyralidae
Exons: 3
Source: RefSeq, a predicted model, not a curated record
AUAUCAGCCCUCCUCUUUGGCGAACAAAAACAAAAAUAGCAAAUUAAUUGCGUAAUCGUGAGCCGUGAAAAUUUUGCUAAGGUUAAUUAGUACAUCAAAGGGGUGCUCGGCAAGCUAAAAAUGGCAACCGAUCGGUUACUAUAAGGGGACAAACGAGCAUGCGGCUCACCUGAUGGUAAGUGAUUACCGCCGCCCAUGAGCACCCGCAACACCAGGGGAAUUGCAGCGAAGGAAUCCAGGACUUCUAACUGAAGUAAAUAAAGCAACCUGAAAAUCGAUUGAAUAUUCCAGCUAAGCAGUUCUACAGCAUCUUU